GAGUGAAGGCUGUAAUUGCAAAGAUGUUUUCACAUGGGUGAAUUGGAAGCCCUAUGGAUGAAAAGCAAACGACGGAAUAGGGCCCUGGAUUGCUUGGCUGAAUGGAAGGGAAAAUGAAACAAGCUGAAGACUAUAGGAUGUCAACUGUGGAUACAACUCACAAGCUACCAUAUUGAUGUGACAUGAUGAAGUGGGAAGGAAAGCCAUCUGGAGUUUCACUGGUGAAUUGAUACAUCUUGCACUUAACAUUGUGUAUCCCCUGGACUUUGAUCAAAUGGACAUGGGCUUUCUGAUCUACUGCAGAGUGCCUGGAAAUUCAGGCUCCUAGGAGGAAGGAACUUGCAUUAUCUCAGGUGAGACUUUGGACUUGGACUUUUGGAUUAAUGCUGGAGUGAUAUAAGACUUUGGGGGACUGUUGGGAAGGCCUGAUUGUGUUUUGAAAUGUGAGAACAUGAGAUUUGAGAGGGUCCAGGGGUGGAAUGAUAUGGUUUGGCUGUGACCCCACCCAAAUCUCAUCUUGAAUUGUAAUCCCGAUAAUCCCACCUGUUGAGAAGGGGCCUGGUAAAUGAUGGGAUCAUGGAGGCAUUUUCCCCCAUGCUGUUCUCAUGAUAGUGAGUUCUCAGGAGAUCUGAUGGUUUUAUAAAUGGCAGUUUCCCCUAAGCUUUUCUCUCUCUUCUGCUGCCUUGUGAAGAGGUACUUGCUUCUCCUUCACCUUCCAUCAUGAUUGUAAGUUUCCUGAGGCCUCCCCAGCCAUGUGGAACUGUG
Molecule: long non-coding RNA, 765 nt
Filed under: Homo sapiens (human)
Lineage: Eukaryota; Metazoa; Chordata; Mammalia; Primates; Hominidae
Description: non-protein coding lnc-FAM9C-4:2
Source: RNAcentral